This is a non-coding RNA of Acanthosepion pharaonis, 107 nucleotides long. The record is from the annotation of a GenBank genome assembly. NCBI's taxonomy places the organism in Eukaryota, Metazoa, Mollusca, Cephalopoda, Sepiida, Sepiidae.
CUACAUUAUAUUGAAACACCGGUUCCCGCACGAUCACCGAAGUUAAGCAACGCCGAGCCUGGUCAUUGCCUAGAUAGUUGACCGUUUGGGAAUACCGGGUACUGUAA